Molecule: ribosomal RNA, 21 nt
Filed under: Tamarixia radiata
Lineage: Eukaryota; Metazoa; Arthropoda; Insecta; Hymenoptera; Eulophidae
Description: partial 5.8S ribosomal RNA
Source: RNAcentral
AAUGAUUACCCUGAACGGUGG